CUUACUCUGCCUUGAAUAUAAGCCAACUGACUCAUUUUACAAAAUAAGAUAAAAAAUAAGGACCUCACACAAAGAGGAUAAUGGAAGAAGCAGAAAGAAGGGGGAGAGAGUUUGUCAGCUGUAAAGUGCUACAAAACUUCUCAGAAAAAUCACAGUCAAGACUCAGACAGGUCCAGAUACCACUGCUCUACUCUGGGUGUAUGCCUACUCCAACAGUUUAGGGAGAGCCAGCAAAGGAGUCAGAUGCUGCUGUCCCCUGAACUAGUGACUGCGCUGUAUCAAACCCUGCCUUUGGAGGAACACCUGAAGGAGCUGCCACCUGGCAAGCAUCUGGAGAAGCUGUCCCACGGCAAAUACCCCGAAGGGCUGUUGGAGCUGCCGGCUGCCAGGUACCCCAAAGAGCCCAAGGGCCCAUGAGCGACAAAGCCCUAUGACCAGAUAACAGCAUUUUCCCCUCAUCAUCUGUGGACUUCAGGAGACCCUUGAAAAUGACCUCUAUGUCCUGCAUGAAUUUCUUCCACUCCUCAGGAAGGUUCAUAUCUUCCCAGUUUUCAUUCUGGGCAGCUAGAUUCUAACUUACUCCUUACUCCUAGCCAAUUAUUGUCUUAGGCUUUUGCUGCACUCACAGGUCUUUUAUUUUACCUUGUGUAUGCAUACCUUGUAGGCAGUAGCUCUGUACCUAAGUAAUGAUUCAGUCAGUGAGGCUAAAGCAGUUGACAUAUUUUACAUGUGAAAUACACAACUUUAAAAAAUAAUUGUACCACAGCUAAAAAUAAGCAUUCCUCCCAAGGACUAACUGUCUAUACAGUCAGUUCAACAUAACCUGUAAGACUAUUUGUACUUGGUGACUCUCAAUAUUAUACUUUUUCUUUGUUAAAAUUGUGGAAA
Molecule: long non-coding RNA, 888 nt
Organism: Caretta caretta (loggerhead turtle)
Lineage: Eukaryota; Metazoa; Chordata; Testudines; Cheloniidae
Source: RefSeq, a predicted model, not a curated record